GCCCUCGUAGCCCAACUGGUCAGAGGCAGGCGACUUAAAAUCGUCCAAGUCAGGGUUCGAAUCCCUGCGGGGGCA
Molecule: transfer RNA, 75 nt
Filed under: Frigoribacterium endophyticum
Lineage: Bacteria; Bacillati; Actinomycetota; Actinomycetes; Micrococcales; Microbacteriaceae
Also listed under: 7 other names
Description: tRNA-Leu
Rfam family: tRNA
About the family: Transfer RNA (tRNA) molecules are approximately 80 nucleotides in length. Their secondary structure includes four short double-helical elements and three loops (D, anti-codon, and T loops).
Source: RNAcentral